Molecule: ribosomal RNA, 409 nt
Filed under: uncultured bacterium
Lineage: Bacteria
Description: bacterial SSU rRNA
Rfam family: Bacterial small subunit ribosomal RNA
Source: RNAcentral
UCGAGGAUCUUCGUCAAUGGGCGAAAGCCUGAACGAGCGACGCCGCGUGCGGGAUGAAGGCCCUUGGGUUGUAAACCGCUGUCAGGGGGGAUGAAACCGCAAGGUUGACAGAGCCCCAGAGGAAGCACGGGCUAAGUUCGUGCCAGCAGCCGCGGUAAUACGAACUGUGCGAACGUUACUCGGAAUCACUGGGCUUACAGGGUGCGUAGGUGGCUUGAUAAGCAGGGUGUGAAAUCCCUCGGCUCAACCGAGGAACUGCGCUCUGAACUGUCGGGCUAGAGUAUGCUAGAGGUGAAUGGAACAUCCAGUGGAGCGGUGAAAUGUGUUGAUAUUGGAUGGAACACCAGAGGCGAAGGCGAUUCACUGGGGCAUAACUGACACUGAGGCACGAAAGCCAGGGGAGCAAACG